RNAcentral lists this ribosomal RNA (234 nucleotides) under uncultured bacterium. RNAcentral describes it as "partial 16S ribosomal RNA". It matches the Rfam family "Bacterial small subunit ribosomal RNA", at positions 102 to 334 of the family's 1533-position model. The record is from RNAcentral.
CGACGGGUGAGUAACACGUAUCCAACCUGCCGUCUACUCUUGGACAGCCUUCUGAAAGGAAGAUUAAUACAAGAUGGCAUCAUGAGUCCACAUGUUCACAUGAUUAAAGGUAUUCCGGUAGACGAUGGGGAUGCGUUCCAUUAGAUAGUAGGCGGGGUAACGGCCCACCUAGUCAACGAUGGAUAGGGGUUCUGAGAGGAAGGUCCCCCACAUUGGAACUGAGACACGGUCCAA